AGGGAUAUAGCUCAGUGGUAGAGUGUGUGCUUAGCAUGCACAAGGUCCUGGGUUCAAUCCCCAGGACCUCCA
RNAcentral lists this transfer RNA (72 nucleotides) under Camelus bactrianus (Bactrian camel). It matches the Rfam family "tRNA". Rfam says of the family: Transfer RNA (tRNA) molecules are approximately 80 nucleotides in length. Their secondary structure includes four short double-helical elements and three loops (D, anti-codon, and T loops). Lineage: Eukaryota; Metazoa; Chordata; Mammalia; Artiodactyla; Camelidae. The record is from Rfam by way of RNAcentral. RNAcentral also lists the same sequence under 2 other names.